Hibiscus syriacus is the source of this 4222-nucleotide long non-coding RNA. RefSeq lists it as uncharacterized. The transcript has 2 exons. The record is from RefSeq and is a predicted model, not a curated record. NCBI's taxonomy places the organism in Eukaryota, Viridiplantae, Streptophyta, Magnoliopsida, Malvales, Malvaceae.
CGCAACAAGUUGCACAUAAAUAAAACCAAUGGCGCAGGUUUGCACUCUACCUUUUUGGCACGCCAUUUUCUUCUGCCUAUGUUUGGCACGUCCUCUAGUUUUGCCAGUCUUCUAGUUUUGCUAGUCGUCUUUCCCUUUUCCUGCGUUUCCUCGUUUUCAUUGGUUUCUUAGUUUUUUGGCCUGUGAAGGAGGGGCUAUGGGGGAUCUAGAUCGUGAUUUGAGUGUGCUAAAUCUGGGCGAAGGGGAAGAUGAAGUCUUAGUUUUGGCCCAAUCUGGAAACAAUUCAUCGAUCUCUUUUGACCACUGUUUCGUUGGGAGGUUUCUGUCAGUCUCAAUGAUAAAUUUCCAGGCAAUGCUAUCCACUUUGGCGAAUGUCUGGCACCUUAUUGGGGGCAUCUUUAUAACGGAAUUAGGAGAAGGGCGAUAUCUAUUUCGUUUCUUUCACGUGAUCGAUGUGGACAGGAUCGAACAAGGUGGCCCUUGGUAUUUUAAUUCACACUUAUUGGUGUUACACCGGUUACAGCCAGGGAAAAUCCGACGCUGGUAAACUUAUUUACUGCAAACUUCUGGGUUAUUGUUAAUAAUGUUCCGGUGGGUUUUGUCUCAGAACAGGUAGUGAAACAAUUGGGUGAUUUUUUGGGGCGAUUCCUAGAGUAUGAUGCAAGUGUAGUUACUCUUGUGUAGUUACGCUUGGAUAUAGAGGAUGCUUGCGGAUUCGAGUAGCUCUGGAUGUUCGGAAGUCUCUAAAACGGAGGAAAAAACUUGCGUUGCCGAGUGGGUCAUCCACCAAUGUUACGUUCCAGUAUGAAAAGCUGAGGCUUUUCUGUUUCUUGUGUGGGCUGUUAGGCCAUGGGGAAAUUUUUUGCCCUUGGAGGGUGUUACAGGAGAAGGCGGUUUUGGUCCCACAGUGGGAUGUUUCCUUACGGGCACCAGCAAGAACUAGGGGUGUCGGAACUAUUCCGUGGUUGAGGGAUGAAGUGGGAGGGGAGUUUGGUUAAAUCAGAUGCUGUUAAUGUGAGUGCCACGGCAAUGGAAGACUUGACUAAGUCGGGGGAGCCUCGACUAAAAAGUGGGUACAGAAGGCUUUUUCUGUGGAUAGUUCGAACAAUAGCUAUGGGGGAGGGAUGGAUGUGAUAAUGGUAGGAGUGGAAGAAGAAAAACCUUUGGAGCAGUCUGACAAUGCAAAGAGACAACGGAGUAGUCCAACUGCUUCGAUUGCUCUAGUAGAAAACGUUGCUAGAAAUUUGAAUUUAUCGACAGACCUACAUAUCCAAGCCAGCCGAUCAUAAUGAAGCUCAUGAGCUGGAACGUCCGGGGUUUGGGGAGACCUCGGGCGGUUAGUCGUCUCCGCAAUUUGCUGCGGGAUGUCAACCCGACUGUAAUUUUUCUAAUGGAGACAAAUUUAUAGCACUUACGUAUGGAGAAAGUCCUGGUGUAAUUCAUGUGUAGUGUUCUUGAGGUCUUUUUCGGACUUUCACAUUGAUGUGGUUUUUUCUGAUGAUUCGGAGGGUAAUAGUUGGAGGUGCACAAGUUUCUAUGGUUCGCCUGAGGAGUCGUAUAGAAGGGAAUCCUGGGAUCUUCUUCGUAGUCUGGAUGAUUGUCCUGAUCUUCCUUGGCUUGUCAUUGGCGAUUUCAAUGAGAUUCUCUAUGCUCAUUAGAAAAAGGGUGGUUUAGUUCGCGGUGAUCACCAGAUGCAAGAGUUUUGUUUUGCUUUAGAGGAUUACAAUUUAACGGAUAUUGGCUUUGUUGGAUAUUGGUUUACUUGGGAGAGAGCUAGAACGGUUGCAACAAACAUUCGAGAGCGCCUUGAUAGAGGAGUGGUGGCUGAUAUCUGGGAGGUAAACAAUGACAUUUUCGUUUUGGGUCAUCUUGGCUAUUGGAGAUUCCUGUGAGGUGGAAGUUGUUAAGCUGUGGAAUAAGACUGAGGGGAUGCUAACUACAAAGCUUUAGCAUGUUAGUCGGGGACUAGAUGCGUGGUUUUGAUGUAUUUGUAGAGAGAGGGGGUUACUUCUCAUGAUCUUAGCAGGAGGUUGGGGGAGUUAGUUGAUUUAGAUCCCACUGAUGAUGUUUUGAGAGAGAUGAUCGAUAUGAAAUUACAAUUGAAUCUGGAUAUGGAUAAAUCGAAACUUUAUUGGGAGCAACGUGCUAGAGCUAACUGGAUGCGUAAUGGGGACAAGAACACUGCCCUUUUUCAUAGACAUGCUUCGAGUAGGAAAAGGCAAUUUCACAUUGAUUACUUGGAGAUCGAAGUGGGCGACCGUUUUGAGGGGAAUGUUGAGAUGGACUCACAUGCUCGUUCUUAUUUUAUGUAUUUAUUUUCUUCAUCCGCUACUGAUAUUGAUGAGGAGAUUUUGGAUGGCAUUCAUCAAAGUAUUUCGUAGGAGAUGAACACAGAUAUGGGUAGACCAUUUUCAAAGGAGGAUGUUUAUACUGCAGUAAAAUCCAUGAGCCCGUUGAAAGGCUCAUGUGGGGAUGGUUUGGGUGCACUGUUCUACCAACGCUUUUGGCACAUUGUUGGUGCAGAGGUUGUAGAUUUCUGUAGAGGUCUACUUAAUGUUUAGCAUGACAUGAAUUUGGUGAAUCGAACUCAUAUUGUCUUGAUUCCGAAAGUAUUCAAUAUGUCUAGGUUGUCCUAGUUUCGCCCUAUCAUUUUGUGCAACGUGCUUUUCAAGAUUGUUUCAAAAAUGCUGGUGAAUCGAAUGCAGAGCUUUCUGGAUGUUUGCAUCGAUGAGUCUCAGAGCGCUUUUGUUUCAGGUCGUCUGAUUACGGACAACAUCAUUAUGUCCUAUGAAGUUUUGCACUCUUUCGUUAGAAAGCGGGAAAGUAGGAAAUACUACUUUGCACUUAAACUUGAUAUGAGUAAGGCCUAUGAUAGAGUGGAGUGGAGUUUCAUUUGGACGAUUAUGUUGAAAAUAGGCUUCUCGAUGAGUUGGAUUGAUAUGGUUCAAAGAUGUGUGACUUCGAUAUCUUAUGCGGUUGUGAUCAAUGGCUCAGUGGGUGAGGGCUUUGUCCCUUCGAAAGGAUUACGUCAGGGUGAUCCUCUAAGUCCCUAUUUGUUCCUAAUUUGUAGUGAAGGCUUAUCUUCCUUGUUGCGCAAAGCUGCUAGUAGGGACGACUUUUGAGGAAUAAAGUUGAAUCAGUAUGCUCCAUCGAUAACUCAUUUGCUGUUUGCAGAUGAUAGCCUUAUUUUUGGUGAAGCAAAUGCAAGGACAUACUUGGGCAUUAUGGGGAGUGUUCGGGACAACUGAUAAAUUUCGACAAGUCUGGGUUAUUUUUCAGUUCUAACGUGCAUACUGGCAAUCGAAAUGAUGUGCGUCGUAUCCUUCAGGUAUCUAAUUCCUCUAACCCAGAGAAGUAUUUGAGUCUUCCGACGAUUGUAGGCCGGAAUAAGAGGGUGGCAUUUACUUAUUUGAAGGACCGUUUUUGUUCUUGCUCUCACAGCUGGAGUACUAGAUGCUUGUCCCAAGGCGUUAAGGAAGUGUUUAUUAAGUCCAUCCUGCAAGCCCUUCCCCUUUAUGCUAUGAAUUGUUUCCUCUUUCCGAAAGGUGUGUGCAAAGAUAUGGAGAGUAUUAUGGUGAAAUUCUGGUGGCAGAAAUCGGAGACGAGAGAGGGUAUUCACUGGUGUGUGUCGCAUCGACUUUGUUAACCGAAGACUCUUGGGGGCUUGGGGUUUCGGGAUAUGACAAAGUUCAAUGUCGCUCUACUUGCAAAAACAAGGUUGGCGGUUAAUUCAGAAUCCUAGCUCGUUGGUUAGUCGUCUACUUAAGGCGAAAUAUUUUCCUCACAGUGAUUUUCUAUCCGCUCGUCUUGGUUCUCAGUCGUCAUACAUCUGGCGCAGUAUCUGGAGUGUCCGAGGGUUGUUGGAGUUGGGACUUAAAAGGCGAGUGGGAACAUGUACCUCCAUUUCUAUAUGGAAUGACUACUGGUUACCGGGCUCUGAACUGAGACUGAUUGCCUCUCGGGCAGCGAAUGUCGAGUGGGUUUCGGACCUAAUUAAUUAUCCUAAUCAUGAAUGGGAUGUAGCACAUAUUUCUACUUUAUUUAAUGAGGAAGAGGCGCAUAGUAUUCUUAGUAUACCGCUUACAGUUUUCUGUAAUUUAGAUCGUCGGGUUUGGUGCAAAGAUGGUAGUGGUGUUUACAACGUUAUAAGCCGUAAUAAAUUGUAACUUUCGUCGAAUAAUGUUUAUGCUGUUACUAGGGACAUGAAUUCUCGGUUGUCGGA